UGCAAGUCGAACGUGAACGGGGCUUCGGCCCUUAGUAAAGUGGCGCACGGGUGAGUAACACGUGGAUAAUCUGCCCUUAUGAUCGGGAUAACAGUCGGAAACGGCUGCUAAUACCGGAUACGCUCAAAAUGAACUUUUUGAGGAAAGGUGACCUCUGCUUGCAAGUUACUGCAUGAGGAUGAGUCCGCGGCCCAUUAGCUAGUUGGUAGGGUAACGGCCUACCAAGGCGACGAUGGGUAGCCGAUUUGAGAGGAUGAUCGGCCACACUGGGACUGAAACACGGCCCAGACUCCUACGGGAGGCAGCAGUGGGGAAUAUUGCGCAAUGGGCGAAAGCCUGACGCAGCGACGCCGCGUGAGGGAUGAAGGUUUUCGGAUCGUAAACCUCUGUCAGAAGGGAAGAAACCGCACCGUGCUAAUCAGCGGUGCAUUGACGGUACCUUCAAAGGAAGCACCGGCUAACUCCGUGCCAGCAGCCGCGGUAAUACGGAGGGUGCAAGCGUUAAUCGGAAUUACUGGGCGUAAAGCGCACGUAGGCUGCUUUGUAAGUCAGGGGUGAAAUCCCACGGCUCAACCGUGGAACUGCCUUUGAUACUGCUUAGCUUGAAUCCGGGAGAGGGUGGCGGAAUUCCAGGUGUAGGAGUGAAAUCCGUAGAUAUCUGGAGGAACAUCAGUGGCGAAGGCGGCCACCUGGACCGGUAUUGACGCUGAGGUGCG
This 716-nucleotide ribosomal RNA is filed under the name uncultured bacterium. RNAcentral's name for it is "bacterial SSU rRNA". It matches the Rfam family "Bacterial small subunit ribosomal RNA", at positions 56 to 755 of the family's 1533-position model. The record is from RNAcentral.